RNAcentral lists this ribosomal RNA (368 nucleotides) under uncultured organism. RNAcentral describes it as "bacterial SSU rRNA". It matches the Rfam family "Bacterial small subunit ribosomal RNA", at positions 526 to 896 of the family's 1533-position model. The record is from RNAcentral.
CGGAGGGUGCAAGCGUUAUCCGGAUUCACUGGGUUUAAAGGGUGCGUAGGUGGGUUGGUAAGUCAGUGGUGAAAUCUCCGUGCUUAACAUGGAAACUGCCAUUGAUACUACUAGUCUUGAAUUUUCUGGAGGUAAGCGGAAUAUGUCAUGUAGCGGUGAAAUGCUUAGAUAUGACAUAGAACACCAAUUGCGAAGGCAGCUUGCUACAGGGGUAUUGACACUGAGGCACGAAAGCGUGGGGAUCAAACAGGAUUAGAUACCCUGGUAGUCCACGCCCUAAACGAUGGAUACUCGACAUUUGCGAUACACAGUAAGUGUCUGAGCGAAAGCAUUAAGUAUCCCACCUGGGAAGUACGACCGCAAGGUUG